GACACUGCAAUCGCUUCGACGACAUUCCGCAAGGUUGUCUAGGAGUGUUGUUGUUGUGCUCGUUGGAUGCAUUUGCGUGCGGAGUGCGCCGAGUGGGUCGAUGUCGCUGCCGGAAGGGCGUAUAGAGGACUCGGGUUUUCGGACUCGAGAAUCCUGUGCGUUCGGAUAGCAGGUGAUGUUGGCUCGCUGUUGUGGAGUGCGGGUGAAUCUCGCGAUGGGCGUCGUGUUGUGAGUUGUGGUUGCGGAU
RNAcentral lists this ribosomal RNA (247 nucleotides) under Aphelenchoides besseyi. Its description in RNAcentral is "partial 28S ribosomal RNA". Lineage: Eukaryota; Metazoa; Nematoda; Chromadorea; Rhabditida; Aphelenchoididae. The record is from RNAcentral.